Molecule: ribosomal RNA, 432 nt
Filed under: uncultured bacterium
Lineage: Bacteria
Description: partial 16S ribosomal RNA
Rfam family: Bacterial small subunit ribosomal RNA
Source: RNAcentral
AGCGAACGCUGGCGGCAGGCUUAACACAUGCCAGUCGAGCGGGCACUUCGGUGUCAGCGGCAGACGGGUGAGUAACACGUGGGAACGUACCCUUUGGUUCGGAAUAACGCUGGGAAACUAGCGCUAAUACCGGAUACGCCCUUUUGGGGAAAGGCUUGCUGCCGAAGGAUCGGCCCGCGUCUGAUUAGCUAGUUGGUGGGGUAAUGGCCUACCAAGGCGACGAUCAGUAGCUGGUCUGAGAGGAUGAUCAGCCACACUGGGACUGAGACACGGCCCAGACUCCUACGGGAGGCAGCAGUGGGGAAUAUUGGACAAUGGGCGCAAGCCUGAUCCAGCCAUGCCGCGUGAGUGAUGAAGGCCUUAGGGUUGUAAAGCUCUUUUGUCCGGGACGAUAAUGACGGUACCGGAAGAAUAAGCCCCGGCUAACUUCGU